Phasianus colchicus (ring-necked pheasant) is the source of this 981-nucleotide long non-coding RNA. Lineage: Eukaryota; Metazoa; Chordata; Aves; Galliformes; Phasianidae. The record is from Ensembl.
GCAGCCGCUCCGCCCGGCGCGCGCGGGGAGGAGGGAGGGGCGGGGGAAGGGAAGGGCGGGGGGAGGGAGGGAAGGGGCAGAGCCAGCCCGCUGCCGCCGCGCUCCUCGCGGGCCGCCCGCCGCCGCCGCCGCCCGCCGCCGCCUCGCCUCGCCGAGCUCUGCUUCCCACCGCCGCCCUCGGCAGCCCAGGGGCGGGCGGUGACGACGGAGCGGGGAGGGGCGGAGGGCGCGCGGCCGCCGCCGGAGCGGUGCUAAGGGCCCGCGCGUGCGCGUGAGCGCAGGGGGCGGGCGCGCGCGGGCUGGCGUCUGGCGGCUCGCGGGCGGUUUGACAUUGCCGCCCUCCGGCGCGGGAGGAGCUACGGGGGCGGGGGCGGGGCUGCGGGAGAAGGCGGGGACCGGGGGGAGGGACUGGCCAAUCGCCACGGUCGCCCUGCUAACCGGAAUUUGGUGACGGCCUGUCACGGAGCGACAGGUAUUUAAAAGGGGCGGGGCGAGGCCCGGCGGCCAAUCGGAGUGACGAAGGAGAAGGCGUGGCAGCGCGCGCGGAGGGGAGACGACUCUCGUCGCCGGGCAUUGGCGGGUCAGGAAAGGGAGGGCGCUGAGUGGCAGCGCUGUGAACCAAUGGGGGCGGCGCGGCGCCGCGCGGGUCACGGCGGGAGAGGAGCGUCGCCGGCGGCGGCGCUGCAGCGCGCGUGGGCCGGUGCUGCUCCUGGCGUUCCGCGCGGCCUCGCCGCGGGGGCUGCUGGGAGCCGCAGUUCGCCGCGUGCGUGUGGCGCGAGGGGAGCUGCGGCUGCCGCCGCGUGCGCGGCCGUGACGGCACCUGCGGGGUGCUGGGGGCACUGCGUGGCGCGGCUUUCCCCAGCCAGCCCUCUGAGGGCUGCUCGGCCGUCCCCGAGUGCUUCUGCUUGGCUUUCGAGGUCUGAAGGACUCCACCAAGAAGAAAAUGCAGCGGUGACCAAUUUAUGGAUUUAUAUGACUUGA